GUGGGGAAUAUUGGGCAAUGGGCGUAAGCCUGACCCAGCAACGCCGCGUGAAGGAAGAAGGUCUUCGGAUCGUAAACUUCUAUCCUUGGUGAAGAUAAUGACGGUAGCCAAGAAGGAAGCCCCGGCUAACUACGUGCCAGCAGCCGCGGUAAUACGUAGGGGGCAAGCGUUGUCCGGAAUGAUUGGGCGUAAAGGGCGCGUAGGCGGCCCGGUAAGUCUGAAGUGAAAGUCCUGCUUUUAAGGUGGGAAUUGCUUUGGAUACUGUCGGGCUUGAGUGCAGGAGAGGUAAGCGGAAUUCCCGGUGUAGCGGUGAAAUGCGUAGAGAUCGGGAGGAACACCAGUGGCGAAGGCGGCUUACUGGACUGUAACUGACGCUGAGGCGCGAAAGUGUGGGGAGCAAACAGGAUUAGAAACCCCAGUAGUCC
Molecule: ribosomal RNA, 425 nt
Filed under: uncultured bacterium
Lineage: Bacteria
Description: partial 16S ribosomal RNA
Rfam family: Bacterial small subunit ribosomal RNA
Source: RNAcentral